RNAcentral lists this ribosomal RNA (250 nucleotides) under uncultured bacterium. RNAcentral's name for it is "partial 16S ribosomal RNA". It matches the Rfam family "Bacterial small subunit ribosomal RNA", at positions 524 to 773 of the family's 1533-position model. The record is from RNAcentral.
UACGAAGGGGGCUAGCGUUGUUCGGAAUCACUGGGCGUAAAGCGCAUGCAGGCGGAUCAUUAAGUCGGGGGUGAAAUCCCGAGGCUCAACCUCGGAACUGCCUUCGAUACUGAUGAUCUUGAGUCCGGGAGAGGUGAGUGGAACUCCGAGUGUAGAGGUGAAAUUCGUAGAUAUUCGGAAGAACACCAGUGGCGAAGGCGGCUCACUGGCCCGGUACUGACGCUGAGAUGCGAAAGCGUGGGGAGCAAAC